AGAUGAUUGGGAUCAAGGUUCAGUGACUUGAUCCAGGUCAAAGGACAUUAUCUGACUUGAAAACCAGCCAUUCCUCAAGAAGGAUUACAAGGAGAUGUACACUGGUGAUAUUGUUUCCGUCUUCAGUAACGGUUCAUUCAUGAGAUCCAGUUCACAAGGUACAAAUAUAUGGUGAUCAAGGCUCUGUGGGGAACCUGAGCAAAUGUUUCUCAGGAAAACAAUACCGCCGGAGUUGAUCCUGACAGUUGACGUGAAGCAGUGUGGAAGAACGGCAUGAAGAUCAAGGCAGCGAGCUGCUGGAUACAAUCGCGCCAGACCUAGUGUUCAUCAUCGAUGAU
This is a long non-coding RNA of Lolium rigidum, 338 nucleotides long. RefSeq lists it as uncharacterized. The transcript is spliced from 4 exons. Lineage: Eukaryota; Viridiplantae; Streptophyta; Magnoliopsida; Poales; Poaceae. The record is from RefSeq and is a predicted model, not a curated record.